This 304-nucleotide RNase P RNA is filed under the name unidentified eubacterium clone PS#8. RNAcentral's name for it is "partial ribonuclease P RNA". It matches the Rfam family "Bacterial RNase P class A", at positions 43 to 351 of the family's 367-position model. Rfam says of the family: Ribonuclease P (RNase P) is a ubiquitous endoribonuclease, found in archaea, bacteria and eukarya as well as chloroplasts and mitochondria. Its best characterised activity is the generation of mature 5'-ends of tRNAs by cleaving the 5'-leader elements of precursor-tRNAs. The record is from RNAcentral. Lineage: Bacteria; Pseudomonadati; Bacteroidota.
GAGGAAAGUCCGGGCAACACAGAGCAGGAUACUUCUUAACGAGAAGCAGUUCGCGAGGGCUGAGUAGUGUAACAGAAAAUAACCGCCACACUUCGGUUUGGUAAGGGUGAAAAGGUGGGGUAAGAGCCUACCGUAGCGGCCGUAAUUCCGCUAGCCGUACGCCUUAUGGGUUGUAAGAUCAUGUACACCGACGCAUGUAGAGUGACUCGCUCGAUGUCGGGGGGUAGAUCGCUAGAGUUGCGUAGUGAUACGUAAUCGAGAUAAAUGGCAGACGUUGUGCUUGCACAAUACAGAAUCCGGCUUA